UGCCUCUCUAUAUCUUUACAUUAAAAAAAAUCAUGCACCUUCCUCUCCAGACCUUAGACCCAGCCAGGCAACCUAAGCACUGCCCCCACACCCCCACUCCUGCCAGAGGAGGCCUGGGGCUUACCCGUGUCCCUCUACUUCUCCUGGUGGACUUGGCUCUCGGGGAAAGCAGCACCUGGGGUGACUUUGACUUUCUGCAGCAGGGAAGGAGCAUUUUGGAGAGCCGUCUGUUGCGGACCUUUAUUUCUGACAAUCAGAAGACUCCCAGGCUCCAGGCUUGGUUCUUAUGCCUGUAAAACCUGGCGAUGGUGCUGGGCCUGGGUUCUCGCUGGGCCAGCAGGCAUUGCAGGCUGUCACCUCCCUCAGGCUUCACCCCAGCUGUUACUGCGGGGCUUAGGCUGGGCAAGCCCAGAGAUACACAGAUGAACAAAUGGAAAGCUUGAUGAGAAGUGAGGAUUUCUAUAGUAGCCAUCCACGAAAUAGUUAAAGGAAAGAGAGUCUUCAUGGUGGAAAAGCCUGAACCAGCUGGUCCAGGCAAACCUCAGUGAUGGUGAAGCCUGUAGCACACAGCGGGUGGGAUGAAGAGAGCCGCAUCCGCGAUACUCCUGCCGAAGAUGCCUGUCCUGGAUCUCCCCAUGUGGAAGCACCAGCCCCCAAGUUAGGGGACUGAUUGGACAAUGCACCUGCCUAGAAUCUUCCCAAAGCCUGGUGUCGUGAGAGUCACGGAAACAUCCAGAAACUCGCUCUGGGCAGCGGGAAGCUGAGAGCCGACCACUUUCUUGCAGUGUGCCUGUGCAAACUGGGUAAUUGGGGAUGGCUAGAGAAACUUGAACAGGGUCUGAGCUGGGACAGGAGGAAUGCGUUGGUUUUCUGAUUUUGAUGGCUUAGGUGUUUAUGGAGGAAAAUAGACUUGUUUGUUGGAAAUCCCCCCUGAAGUGUCUGGGAUUACGCAUCAGGUCAGUGAUUCACCAUUAGAUAAUCCAAGGAGAGAGAAUUAUUUUAAACGUACUUGUACAUUUUCUAUAACUUUGUGAUUGUUUGAAAGUUAAGUAACACAAAUAAUUUGUGUCCUCAUCCUAAAGCUUUCUUCUGUCAUAGAGGAUUGUUUAUCUGAGACAUAUGAGUAUAAUGGUAUUGUUUCAAAAUAUUUUUUAAGAUUACACCUGUUUUUAAAAAUUGUGUCAGAUAGCCUGUAUUCAUGUAUUGGAAGAUUCAAUAUUAUUAAAAUGGUAGUUCUCCCCA
Molecule: long non-coding RNA, 1242 nt
Organism: Homo sapiens (human)
Lineage: Eukaryota; Metazoa; Chordata; Mammalia; Primates; Hominidae
Exons: 2
Source: RefSeq, a predicted model, not a curated record